RNAcentral lists this ribosomal RNA (512 nucleotides) under uncultured bacterium. RNAcentral describes it as "partial 16S ribosomal RNA". It matches the Rfam family "Bacterial small subunit ribosomal RNA", at positions 28 to 507 of the family's 1533-position model. The record is from RNAcentral.
GACGAACGCUGGCGGCGUGCCUAAUACAUGCAAGUCGAGCGAGCGGAACUAACAGAUUUACUUCGGUAAUGACGUUAGGAAAGCGAGCGGCGGAUGGGUGAGUAACACGUGGGGAACCUGCCCCAUAGUCUGGGAUACCACUUGGAAACAGGUGCUAAUACCGGAUAAGAAAGCAGAUCGCAUGAUCAGCUUUUAAAAGGCGGCGUAAGCUGUCGCUAUGGGAUGGCUCCGCGGUGCAUUAGCUAGUUGGUAAGGUAAAGGCUUACCAAGGCGAUGAUGCAUAGCCGAGUUGAGAGACUGAUCGGCCACAUUGGGACUGAGACACGGCCCAAACUCCUACGGGAGGCAGCAGUAGGGAAUCUUCCACAAUGGACGCAAGUCUGAUGGAGCAACGCCGCGUGAGUGAAGAAGGUUUUCGGAUCGUAAAGCUCUGUUGUUGGUGAAGAAGGAUAGAGGUAGUAACUGGCCUUUAUUUGACGGUAAUCAACCAGAAAGUCACGGCUAACUACGUG